Knufia fluminis is the source of this 120-nucleotide non-coding RNA. Lineage: Eukaryota; Fungi; Ascomycota; Eurotiomycetes; Chaetothyriales; Trichomeriaceae. The record is from the annotation of a GenBank genome assembly.
GAGCGUGUGGCGCAGUGGCAGCGCAUUUCGUUUGCAUUAAUCUGAGGGAGGGGAGACCUGGUGGUUUCCCCUCCCAAGAUUAAGUCGAAGAGGUCAUCGGUUCGAUCCCGAUCUCGUCCA